UUUGUCAAAAUUCAUAAGAACAACACAAAGAGAAAGUCUUGAUGUAAACUAUAGACUUUAGUUAAUAACAUAACAUUGAUUCAUUAAUCAUAACAUGUAUAUCAAAUUAAUAUAAGAUGUUAAUAGUAGGGGAAAAUAUGUGUUAAGGAAGGGGCAAGAGGUAUACAGGAACUCUUUAUCUACUCAGUUAUGUGCAAACAUAAUAUUGUUGUUUGUUAUUAAUUCAAAUACAAAAAAAAAUAAAAAUUUAAAAUACUGUUCCAAAGAGAGGAUGGGCCACAUAAUACAUGUGACGUUAACCUGAGUAAAGUGAAAACUUGCUAUUCAUAGCAAGAAAUUCAGAAGCAGGGAUUUAAGUUUUCCAGGUCUAUUGUUUUCCUUCUUUCUGCACCACAACUAAAAACACUUGCCUAAUAAAUGAAGAGGUCCUGAGAUAGUUCAAAUACUUUUUAGUUAAGAGGAAAUGGUGGAUUUAUAUGUGUGCAUGGGUUCACACUUAAAUGCACUUUUAUGGGUGCAUGUUUGUAUAAUGCAAUGGAGAUAUAAAUGUACAUAAUAACCAAGCAGAAUAUCAUAGAUUAAAUAUUUAUUUUAGUCUUAGUUUUAUAUUAUAUACACAGAUGUCAUGAUAAAAAAACUAAACUGCUUCCUCUGGAUCAGGUUGCCAUGCUCAAUAUGAAUGGAUGUAUACCUAUGUUGCUAAGUCUGAGAAAAGCUAGUUAAUCCCUUUAUGGCUCCUGUAGCAUUUGAGAAAAAGACUUUUGCUACUGUGUGCCCUGUACCCUAAUUUCACACAAACUCACCUCUCUUAAGAUCGAGCCAAAAUAUAACACAAACACACCCCACAUUUGAAAUCUGGCAAAUAAAUAAAUAAAUAUAUAUAAUUUGCGUAAUAUUUUGUAAUUAAAUUUAUGUAUAAAUAUACACUUAUAAUUAUAUUUCAUAUAAUAUAUAUUAUAUAUAUUGCUUUUCCAUCCCUUCCUAUGUUAGUCUCUAAGCUUGUUACAAAAUUGGAAAUGCAUUUCUUUGUGCCAGUUUAUCAAUAUCUAAUGGUCAAGUAUGUUAUUUUUAUAUCAAUUGCACUCCAUGCCCACUCAUCCUCAUAAAAAAGAGACUGUUUUACCCAAAGGAUGAACAAUUUUGUUGCUUAGGGAUGAAUACUAUUUAUUGCUUCCAUGUGCUCAAUUAUAGAAGAAAACCAAUAUGACAGAGUGUAAAGUCAAAUAGUUGGAAAAGACAUAUAAAAUAUCUUCAGCCAGGUUUUUAAUCCCUGUGGUGACAAGUAAUGAGGGAACACAUCUCGUUACCACCAACUUCAUUCAUUUACACAUACAUCUGGAGCUGGCUUUAAGAUAGAUCCUUUCUUCCUAAAUGAAAACAAACAAAGAAACAAAAAAUCCUAAAACUUGUUUUCUAUAAAAUUUAUUUUUAUUGCAGAGUAAAAAGUAAAGGUGGGAAACAGGGCUGUAAAUGGAAAUAAAACAUGUUCAUUCUUUCAUUCCAAGCUCAACACAGUCUGCUCUCUUUAUCAGCAUCAUGAUAGUAUAGCCCUUUUGGCAGAGUUCUGGAGUGAGAGAGCUAACUGGGAAUAAGAUCAGGUCAGUUUAGCACUAAUGUUCCCAUCCUUGUGAGUUAGGGUGGGUCAUCAGACAAUCACUCCCAAACCCAGGCCAUCCCUAGCACAGUCUGUCAUAAGUCCUUUAAGAUCAGUCCAAUUAUAUUCUUCGUUCUUGUUUGUACUAACCAUAAGAACUCUUAAACUCAGUCAUUCCUCAUCUCCUCAAAUCCAAUCUCCUUUAAAGCUCUGUAAUUCCUUUUUUUCAUCCUGUCUUAUUCUACCAGCUGAGUUUUUGAUACCCUUACACUGAGCCUGUGGAAUUAUUUUACAUUCUGAGAUAAAAUUCUUCUCUGACCAAUCACUUCAAAUUGCAUUGCUGAUGAAAUAUGGAUCUCCUCUGAGAGCAUAGCUUCCACUGCUGGCUUCUCAACUGAUACAUGUUUUUGAUCCUGCAGCUCUCAUACAUGUGAGCCUGAAUAUUUUCUUCAGAAUUUAUUCCUAGUUCCAGAUCAUUCUUUCUUUCUUCUCCCUUAAAAACAUUUGGCUUUGAUUCUCAAAGAUAUUAUCAGAUUAUCUGACCCACUAACACUAUUACUGAUCUCUAUACUUCCUAGUUCGUUUCCUCCUUCUUCCCCUCAGAGCUCAAAACUUUUAACAUUGGCUCUAAUACUGGUCCCUGCUUUAAUUCUCUGAUGCUCCUUCAACCAUUGACACUUUGGCUCUUUAAAUUUCAUUUCUCUAAAUUCUUGUCUUCAUCUCUGCUAUAAUCUUUCAUGGCUUUAUUUGUAACCUGGAUCUUAUGAUUACCAAUGAAUGCAACACCUCUAAGACCUGAGCUUCUUUGAUCACCUCCUUUGAUCACCCCCCUCUUUGAUUACCCCCAUUCUAUUCUUUGAUCACCCCCUCUUCUCUCUGAAUUCAUUCUGUCAUUCAAACCUGAACAAAACCUCAAGUCCAUUAAAACCUCCAUUCCGUUGUACUAACUUUUCAUUUUACCAUUUUGAUGUCCUAUAUUUCUCAUUUCUUAGCUUUAAUUCCAUGCCCAUUAGUUAACUCAACAGAUAUCCACUGACAGCAAGGCACAAUUUUAAGUGCUUUCUAUAUAUUAGAAAAAAAAAUUAAAAAGACCUCUGUCUUCAUGUAUCUUAAAUUAUAAUAAUUCCCUUAUAUAAAUAUAUACUAGUGCAUCGGUCAGUUUGGGCUAAAUUACUAUGUGAUAACAAAUAACUCCCAAAUAUUAGGUAAAAGCCAAAAGACAAGGCUUUAAAUUUUAUCUUUGUUAUAUGUAAAUCAUGAGGUACCUUAUGUUUCCCUUCAUCUAAUCAAGAUUAGGCUAUAUCUUGAACAUGUCCCUCAUGGUAAAGACAGAGGACUAUAUGGCACAUUGAUGUGAUAUCCCUAAAAGUUCCUGCAUAUUGUAAAAAGUUAUAUCACUUUCACUAAAAAGUUAUUGGCCCAAAUAAUAAUGUGGCCAAGAUUGAAAAUAUAAGAUACCAAAGAAUGAGGACACAGUAGGGGGCCUGGUAGAAUUUUGUCCUUUCUCAGCAGUCAAACUUACUCAGCAAAACUGUAAUUCCAAUUAUUUCUACUUACUCUCAUCUGCACCCACACUGCUGUAUCAUGGCUAGAGGAAAAAAAAUACAUGAACUGGCCAAACUGGUCACCAAAUGGGUGACCAUAAUAUCAAGUGGGUUAUUUAUGCCAAGAAAUAAAACAGGUUUCUCUCUUAUGGGGAGAAUUUGUCACCCCCAAAUUCAUGUUGUUGAAUUCAUAAUUCCUAGAACCUAAGAAUGCGACCUUAUUUGAAGAUAGGAUUUUUACAUAGAUACUUAAGUUAAAAUGGGGUAAUUUGAGUGGGCCCUAAACCAAUAUGACAGGUAUCCUUAUAAAGAGGAAACAUUUGGACACAGAGACAUGCAUAGAAGGAAGACGGCAAAGGGAAAAGACAGCCAUCUAUAAACCAAGUAGAAAGGUAUGGAACAGAUUUUUCACCCACAGCCCCAGGGGGUAUCAACUAGGCAGACACCUCAAUUUUAACUUCUAGUAUCUGAAACUGUGAGGCAAUAAAUUUCUAUUAUUUAAGCCACCCAGUUGGUGGUACUUUCUUAUGGCAGUCCUAGCAAACUAAUCCAGUCUCUAAGAUAAUAAUUUUCUUAUUCUCCCAUCUCACAACACCCUUGCUCUUCUCAAACCACCAAUAAGACAGGCCCCAUCAUCAGUCUAAUGAUGACUUCAGCGAUCUGAUGACUUCACUUCUUACUAUGCUAAGAAUAUUAGAGUCAUCAGAAAAUAUCAGAAGAUGCCUUCUGUAGGCUCUUUCUAUGAAAUACCUUCACCUAACAACAUCUGCGUAAACAUAUCUGCAUUACUGUUGAAUGUCAUAGAUAGAAGAUCUUUGCCUCUAUCUAAAAUAAAAUCUUUCACUCUCCCUUUCUUGUCUCUUCAAGGGUGUCACUUCAGCAAUUCUCCCCUUUCCUUUCUACAUAAUUCAAUACUCCUUCUCUGUUAUAAUAUUUUCAUUAUCACAUUCUUUCAUCAAAAAUGUAAUAAUGUUUUUAUCUCAUUCUCAUCAAAUACAACACAGUUUUUUUUGGCUUGCAUUUGCAGAAAAACUUGAAAUAAUUGACAAUUAACAUUGUUUUCAGUUCCUCUCCCAUUUCCUUUUAAAUCUCCUCAGAUCAGGCUGCUUCUUCUUCUCUUUUUUUUUUUUUUUUUAUUUUGUCUUUUUAGGGCUACACCCAUGGCCUAAGGAUCAUACCACAGCUCUAGAUGCUGGCCUACACCACAGCCACAGCCACAGCAACACCAGAUCUGAGUGGCAUCUGCAACCUACACCAUGGCUCAUGGCAAUGCUGGAUCUUUAACCCACUGAGUGAGGCCAGGGAUUGAACCUGUGUUCUCAUGGAUACCAGUCAGAUUCAUUUCUGCUGAGCCACGACAGGAACUCCAGAUCGGGCUUCUUUACCUACUGCUGUAUUCCAACAAUUCUCAUUCUAAUGGACAGAACAUAAAGAGAUCCUUAAGAUCUCUGCCUCUUAAUAUUUAUGUCCUUGUGUAAUCACCCCCCUUCAAUAUGUGUGGGAAAUGUGACUAUACUUUAACCUUUACAAUAUGAUAAAGGUGAUAGGUUGUAUGUGAUCAUGUUCAAAUGAAUAUAUAACAAUCUGAAGUAAUAAGCCUUUUGCUGAGAUUUUCUCUCCUUUGAAAGCUUUGAUGAAGCAAGUGACCAGGUUAAAAAGGUCCACAUGUCAUGGAACUGGGGGGCAACUUUGAGCUAACAAAAAACUGAGAGUGGCUUCUGGCCAACAACAAAAAACUGAGGCUCUCAGUCUAACAGCCCAUGUAGAAUUGACUUUGGACAGCAAUCACAUGAAUUUGGAAAAGAUCCUUUCACAGUUGAGAUGGGACUCAGCUAACAACUUAAAUGUGUCUUUAAAAUAAUGUCCUUCAGCAGAGAACUUAGAAAAGUAAUGCAUAGAUUCCUGAUCCAAAGAUCUG
This 5056-nucleotide long non-coding RNA is filed under the name Sus scrofa (pig). Its description in RNAcentral is "lncRNA (ENSSSCG00000057717.1)". Lineage: Eukaryota; Metazoa; Chordata; Mammalia; Artiodactyla; Suidae. The record is from RNAcentral.